AUUGAACGCUGGCGGCAGGCCUAACACAUGCAAGUCGAGCGGAUGAAGGGAGCUUGCUCCUGGAUUCAGCGGCGGACGGGUGAGUAAUGCCUAGGAAUCUGCCUGGUAGUGGGGGAUAACGUCCGGAAACGGGCGCUAAUACCGCAUACGUCCUGAGGGAGAAAGUGGGGGAUCUUCGGACCUCACGCUAUCAGAUGAGCCUAGGUCGGAUUAGCUAGUUGGUGGGGUAAAGGCCUACCAAGGCGACGAUCCGUAACUGGUCUGAGAGGAUGAUCAGUCACACUGGAACUGAGAAACGGGCCAGACUCCUACGGGAGGCAGCAGUGGGGAAUAUUGGACAAUGGGCGAAAGCCUGAUCCAGCCAUGCCGCGUGUGUGAAGAAGGUCUUCGGAUUGUAAAGCACUUUAAGUUGGGAGGAAGGGCAGUAAGUUAAUACCUUGCUGUUUUGACGUUACCAACAGAAUAAGCACCGGCUAACUUCGUG
RNAcentral lists this ribosomal RNA (484 nucleotides) under uncultured bacterium. RNAcentral's name for it is "partial 16S ribosomal RNA". It matches the Rfam family "Bacterial small subunit ribosomal RNA", at positions 30 to 507 of the family's 1533-position model. The record is from RNAcentral.